This 434-nucleotide ribosomal RNA is filed under the name uncultured Raoultella sp. Its description in RNAcentral is "bacterial SSU rRNA". It matches the Rfam family "Bacterial small subunit ribosomal RNA", at positions 958 to 1392 of the family's 1533-position model. The record is from RNAcentral. Lineage: Bacteria; Pseudomonadati; Pseudomonadota; Gammaproteobacteria; Enterobacterales; Enterobacteriaceae.
AACGCGAAGAACCUUACCUGGUCUUGACAUCCACGGAAGUUUUCAGAGAUGAGAAUGUGCCUUCGGGAGCCGUGAGACAGGUGCUGCAUGGCUGUCGUCAGCUCGUGUUGUGAAAUGUUGGGUUAAGUCCCGCAACGAGCGCAACCCUUAUCCUUUGUUGCCAGCGGUCCGGCCGGGAACUCAAAGGAGACUGCCAGUGAUAAACUGGAGGAAGGUGGGGAUGACGUCAAGUCAUCAUGGCCCUUACGACCAGGGCUACACACGUGCUACAAUGGCAUAUACAAAGAGAAGCGACCUCGCGAGAGCAAGCGGACCUCAUAAAGUAUGUCGUAGUCCGGAUUGGAGUCUGCAACUCGACUCCAUGAAGUCGGAAUCGCUAGUAAUCGUGGAUCAGAAUGCCACGGUGAAUACGUUCCCGGGUCUUGUACACACCG